CCCUCAUCACGUACUAUUACUCCCUUUGCCUUCUUUCUCUCUCCGCCCACUGUCCAUCCACCGCCCCUCUCUCUCUCUCUCUGUAUCGAAUGCAAAUUUCGAAUGCUGGCCGCGAAGCCUCCGCUGGCUAUUCCGACGCUGCACCGCCGUCCUCCACCACUUCCCAUAGCCAUCUCUGUAUUCUAGGGUUUUUGGCAUUCCACUUUCUCACGUGACCAUAUUUUCAAUCAGAUUCUGAAGGAGGCGGAGAAGGGAAAUUUAGGACGCGCUGUUUUGGGAAUUACAACUCCGGUGUUGAUUCUUGCCUUCUAUUGCGAUCGGAAGUUGAAGAAGGGAAAGGGGAUAGAAGGGACUGCCACAGACACACAUAUACAUAUUAGGGUUUCUGGGAGAAGAAGAAUAACGCCAUGGCUCCAGGGCGUAAACGUGGAGCUAAAGGAGUGAAGACGAUGAGUGACUUGAGUAUCGGCGAUCUCGUUCUCGCCAAGGUUAAGGGUUUCCCUGCCUGGCCUGCAAAGAUUAGUAGACCUGAGGAAUGGGAUAAACCUCCUGAUCCUAAAAAGUAUUUUGUGCAGUUCUUCGGUACAGGAGAAAUAGCUUUUGUUACCCCAGCAGAUAUUCAGGCGUUUACAAGUGAAGCGAAGAACAAGUUGUCAGCUCGAUGCCAGGGGAAAGGAUAUUUUGCGCAAGCAGUAAAGGAUAUUUGUGCUGAAUUUGAAGAGUUGCAGCAGAAAAAUUCUUGUCCUUUGGGAUAUGACAAAAAUAAUGAAGCUCCAGUCACUGAUGCUGUAGAUGGUUCAGUAAAGGUAGAACAAACAGAUAGGACUGAAUAUGGUGAAACCGAGCAAGAAAUGGAUUCUGAAAGUCUGGGUGAGGGGUCUGGUUUGGAACGCUGCUCAAAGGUUAAAACUGAGCAAGAUAAUCAAAGUUGCAAGCCACUUGUUUUAGAUUCUGCCAACGUCUCUCCAACUAUUUCAUCUAAAAAGGGAAGUAAAAUUUCCAAUAGUACUAACUCAGUGAAGGAAUUGACAUCAGCAUCUUCUCAAGGAUGCCAUUCUGUAGGUGAGGAAAGCCCUCAAAAUAAAACUAUUCAAGAUAAACUUACUUCUGGGGAUCACUCUGUGCAUCCUGGUACUGGACGUAAGCAACUAGCAAAUGGACAGAAAGUAAAAUUAUCAAAGAGGAAACUGGAGGGUGGAGAAGAAGUGCAAAAUGUUACUACCUUGGCUGGUGAUGCUUCUGCAGAGCCUAUUAUAGUUGGUUUGAAAAGUGAUGUUGUGUCUGGUGAAAGUAAAAAGAAGCCAUCCUUGGAUUUGAAGUCAGAAGCUAAUGGUAAAAAGAAAGCAAAAAAGUUGCGCAGAGAUAAAAGACAUCUUGAAAUAUCUGAUUCUGAAAAUGAAAUUGAGGAGGAUAACAAGCUUGAGAGUUCUAGCGGGAAACCCAAAAUUGAACCUGGAUGUAUACGGAAAACUUCACAUGGCACUGAAGGAGUGCAACCUUUCAAAAGGUCAAAAUGUGCAGAUGGGGCUGCUGAUGUAAACAAGGUAGUCCAAGCUAGCAGGAAUAAAGAUAGUCGGAAUUCUGGUGUUGAUGUUAAAUUGGGUAAUUCAGAGGUUAAAGGAUCAAAGCCAGUGGGGAAAGUGGAGAACCGCGCAACACUGAAAGCACAGGCAGAUGUUGCUGGUUCAAAUGUUCCAGGGGAGGAGGAUGUUCCUCCCCCAUCGAAACGCAGUCGACGUGCAUUGGAGGCUAUGCCCAGUUCCUCACCUAUUCCUCAACAGACAACAAAACGGAGAGCUGUUCGGCUUUGUGAUGAUGAUGAUAAUGAGGAGCCCAAAACUCCUGUUCAUGGGGGAUCUAUUAAAAAGGAUACUAAUCUGUCACACAUCACAGAUUCUUUGAAAAAAUCUGAUGCACCUAAUGUCACCCCUAUACCUGCUCAGCAGGGUAUGCGUGCCUCAGGAAGAGGUCAGAGUGGUUCUUCAAAGGAAUUGAAAUCAUCUAUCAAACCAAAUGAUGACACUUCUUUUCAUAAUUCUCAAAAGUUAUUAGAGAAAAGGGCCAGAAUUGUAACCACUCCGAACCUUUCCUGUAGUCCUGGGAAACCAGAACCUGAAAAAGUACCUUCAAGAGAUAUUAAACCAAUUCUUGGUUCCCCUAAGAGGUCCCCUGUGGUUGUCACAGUUCCCAGGCCGAUCUCGGAGCCCCAGAAACCAAGUAAACAAUCUGAUAAAGUAUUAGAUGAUGUUCCACAAGGUAAAGUGGUAGCUAGCUCUAUUCCAGCCCUUGUUGCUGCUUCCGAUAACCUGAAGUCUUCUCUGGAUCAACCUAAUAGUGAAAGAGGCAAGACAGAUUCUUCCGGAGAAAGGAAAAAAGCAACCCCUAAGUCAACUUCUCGGAUAAAUGAUCAUGCUUUUUCAGCAGGACAUCCAAUGGAAACCGUUUCGGUUCCUUCUGAAAGGGUGGAAGCAGGUAGAGAUGAUCGACCACUUUCUUUGACUGAUUUGAAAGUGUUGGACCCUGAUAUGUCGAUGAAGGAGCUUAUAGCAGCUGCUCAGGCUAAAAAGAGGCAAGCUCACUUACUGAAUGCUCAUGGGAAUUUACAUCCUGUUUUUGCCACCUAUGUUGAUAUUCAAGGUGGGAGUCCAAACCCUGGCCUUCCCUCUCAUGCCUCUGUUCAUGGCAAGACUCUGCAUUCUGAUGCACAAGGACUCUGUCCUCGUGCAUCUCCAUCCUCAGAGGUUCGUCAAUUUACAUCAAUUGAUCCACCUGAGUGUGAAGAACACGAAGAAAGGAGAGUGAGUUCAGAACACUGGACCACCGGUGGCUCACUUAGUGGUGGCACUGAGGCAGCUGUGGCCCGUGAUGCCUUUGAGGGAAUGAUAGAAACUUUGUCUAGGACCAAAGAGAGCAUAGGGCGUGCAACACGACUUGCAAUUGACUGUGCAAAGUAUGGGAUUGCUAAUGAGGUUGUGGAACUUCUCAUCCACAAAUUGGAAAAUGAACCUAGCUAUCAUCGCAGAGUGGAUUUAUUUUUCCUUGUGGAUUCAAUAACUCAAUGUUCUCAUAGUCAUAAAGGCAUUGCAAGUGCAUCAUAUAUUCCUGCUGUUCAAGAAGCAUUAUCACGACUUUUGGGGGCUGCUGCUCCGCAGGGAGCAGGGGCUCGAGAAAAUCGUCGACAGUGUCUUAAGGUCUUGCGAUUGUGGCUUGAGAGGAAAAUCUUACCAGAAUCUCUACUUCGUCGCCAUAUUGACGAAAUUGGUACUGCAAAUGAUGAUGUUACUGCUGGUGGGCACUCCUUUAGAAGGCCUUCUCGAGCUGAGCGUGCUUUAGAUGAUCCAAUUAGAGAAAUGGAAGGCAUGCUUGUUGAUGAGUACGGGAGUAACGCAACAUUUCAGUUACCUGGCUUUCUAUCUUCUAAUGUGUUUGAGGAGGAGGAGGAAGAGGAAGAAAUUCUAAACAAUCCUCACCAAGAAGAUAGUGAGGUAUCACCAGUGGAUGGUACUCCUGCCACAGGAGACAAUACUGAACAAUAUACAGUCACUCCAAAAGAUAGGCGCAGCCGCAUAUUGGAGGAUGUCGAUGGUGAGCUUGAAAUGGAAGAUGUGUCUGGACACCAGAAAGAUGAAAGUCCAUUGUUUACUGAUGUUCCUCACCGAAGUGCUUCAAACCAGUCUGGUUCUGAUAGAGUCCCGGAAGCUGCUUCAAACAGUCCCUUUGAAUUGCCUCCACCUGAGGGGUGGUCUCCGCCUUUGCCACUUGGUUCGCCUCCAGAGACCCCACCUUUGCCUUCUUCACCUCCUCCACCUACACCCCCGCCGCCACCUCCAUCGUCUCCUUUGCCACCUCCACCUCCAACACCACCUCCUCCUUCACUACCCCCACCACCCCCCACACAGCCACACCCCUUUCCGUCAAUGCCUGCCGGACCACCUCCCCUCUUAUUUACUCAACCUUCUUUGCCACCUCAACCCUCAAUGCCAUUGCAACAUUUGGCAGUUGCAUCAUCAAUACCAUCUUCUUCACCCAUGGUUGGAUAUCAGCAACCUCUGGCUCCACAUGAAGUUGGUAGCAUGCCAAAUGGACAUCGAUUACCCCAGAUGUCUGUAAAUGCUCCUCAUGGGCCUCCUCCACCACAACCACAACCUCGCUUUGUUCCUGUAGGUGUCUGUAACUCGCGUGAACCUUCUGGAUAUAAUUCCAGACCUUUAGAUUAUAACCAUAAUGAUGCAUAUUUAAACCUUCAGCCUCCACAAUCCAGCCAACAAUUUCAACCCACUAAUGCACCCUUUUCCCAAAUGCCUAUGCAUCCUAAUCCCCCACCUCAAAUCCCAUCCAAUAAUUUUUCAUAUCCAAGGCCAGCAGUGCAGCAACAAUCUCAGCAUCCAUAUCCACCAGGACCACCGCCGUAUGCAUUGCCAAAUCGCCCUGAUGGGCAAAGGCGAUAUGUGGGUGAUGAACAAUGGAGGGUGCAGUCAAAUGAAUUUAGUGCUGAUCAACGUGGCAUGUGGAUGGGAGGAGGAAGAUCAUCUGCUGGCCCAACCUUUCCUCCUGAAGGUUAUUUGAGACCUCAUGAUAGGCCACCUAUGAACAAUAUUGGGUUUCAGCCACCUGCACCAAAUGCUCUUCCAACUGGUGGCCCAAUUUCAGGUCAUGGGAUGCCUUGUAGGCCAGAUGUGACUGCUCUCAAUUGGAGACCAGCUUAAGAAAUCUUGAAUUCUAAUGGAUUUUGGACUUUUGGCUCUGAUGGGGAACUCAAAUAGGAGAAAGGGUUGACCUCUAAACGAAAAUCAGAUGGCAAACUGUUCUGAAGUUGAGGGUGACUUACCAAGAUUUUGUUUAUUGUAACUUUUCCUGAGAAAUGACUACAGGCAUUGGAGAAUGUUCUAACCUCAACUGCAACUGAUUUACUGGUUGGUGAUUGUCAAAUAAGAUGUAUGCCCUGGUAGAUUAUUCUGCUUCAAAAUUUUGAGGUAAUUAUGUAAUUACAGAUCCCUGAGCUGUAACAGUUCCCCACUAUUUUUUUUUUUUUUUUUUCCUUUGAUCAAAUAGUCAUAGUUUACAUGCAAACACUUUUACGGUUCAUAUGCUAGCAAUCAUAGGCAUUUAGAACUGUAGAAGGAUUCUUAGUUUAAGUGUACAGAUGAAUUUUGAUGGUGUAUUUAUCAUUGAAUUAAUUCCAGUUUUGUUCUUAUUAUUGUUCGAA
Molecule: RNA transcript, 5206 nt
Organism: Ipomoea nil (Japanese morning glory)
Lineage: Eukaryota; Viridiplantae; Streptophyta; Magnoliopsida; Solanales; Convolvulaceae
Gene name: ENHANCER OF AG-4 protein 2-like
Exons: 13
Source: RefSeq, a predicted model, not a curated record